Molecule: ribosomal RNA, 253 nt
Filed under: uncultured bacterium
Lineage: Bacteria
Description: partial 16S ribosomal RNA
Rfam family: Bacterial small subunit ribosomal RNA
Source: RNAcentral
UACGAAGGGGGCUAGCGUUGCUCGGAAUCACUGGGCGUAAAGCGCACGUAGGCGGCUUUCUAAGUCAGGGGUGAAAUCCUGGAGCUCAACUCCAGAACUGCCUUUGAUACUGGCGAUCUUGAGUUCGAGAGAGGUGAGUGGAACUGCGAGUGUAGAGGUGAAAUUCGUAGAUAUUCGCAAGAACACCAGUGGCGAAGGCGGCUCACUGGCUCGAUACUGACGCUGAGGUGCGAAAGCGUGGGGAGCAAACAGG